GCAGGCAGAAAACCUGCAAAGCGCGUGUUAAUAGUAACGCCAAUUUUGGCCGGGCGUUAUGGUUAGUGAAUC
Molecule: non-coding RNA, 72 nt
Submitted as: unclassified sequences
Source: Rfam